This 417-nucleotide long non-coding RNA is filed under the name Homo sapiens (human). Its description in RNAcentral is "HSALNT0341525". Lineage: Eukaryota; Metazoa; Chordata; Mammalia; Primates; Hominidae. The record is from RNAcentral.
CCAGCGCCCAUUUGCAGUUCAGAGCCGGCGAGAUGCAGGAGUGUCCUUCUGUGUGAGCUCAUCUUUCCUGGGGUGGCGGGGCUCAGGGCUGAGCGGGCUGGGGAGACGAGUUGGAAAAUUUCACACUCAGCCUCGCCACUUGGCCAGCUUCUGCGUGUUUGGCAGCUCAGGUGACUUGUGGUGGGGGCCCUCGAUCAACACUUCCAUCCCGCUGAAUUCCUAGAAGACAGGAAUUUAUGGUGUGAGAGCUCCAGUCCCCGCAGACCCACUGCCAAGGUCAACAGCACGAGGCGGGCAUCCCUGCCAAGUGGGGAGUGGAGUCGUGGCUUUAGGAGUUGGUUGCAAGGAAAAACCAAAGUACGUGCAUUAAAAAAGAAAAAAAAAAAAAAGAAAUCCCUUCUCUCCCUCAAGUUCCCA